GAAGAGAAGAACAGAGGACAUCUUUUCAGUGAACAGGAUACCUGGGUUUCUUUCCGUUGUGACGCUUUAUUUAGGAGACAUUAAAUAUGAAAACAGGACAUGGCUUGUUAACCACUCACUAUGCCUUUUGCUCAAGGCAGAGAUAUGGUGGUAAGCCACAGGUUAGAUGGGGUUUCUCAGGCAAAGCUCCUCUCUCAAUUUCCCGGUUACUUUGAGCUGGUGAAGGAAGAUCACGGUUUCCACAUCUCUUUUAAAGUAAUUGCAUCACAUUCAAGACAGCAUUAUUUCUCCUCAAGUCCUCUUAUCAGUUGCUCCUAAAGGAUACCAGAGCAGUUAUUUCAGCAUCUCUCCUCACUGGCCAAACAUCCAAGCAUUUGCCUCAUCUGCGAAAUCUUCACUAGGACACAUCCUAGAAGGCCAUGCGAGGAGAGCGGCUUUUGGUUCUAUUUUCUACUGUCUGCUUCUUAGCUGAAGUCAUGAUGGACCAGUCACUUUUGGAAAUUCAUGGAGCCCUGAAUACUUCAGUGCUUCUCCCUGGACAGGAUAUUGCUCUAUCUUCUGUCUUCAAUGUGGAAUGGAGAAUCAAGCAGUCCCAAGAGGUGUUGAUCCUGUCCUUCUCUCCCUCAUCCAAGAACUUCUACACUAAUGAAGCUUACUGGCAGCGAAUCUUCUUCUCUCCCACCAACUUCUCCCUCCAGUUUCACAGUUUGCAGUGCACAGAUGAAGGAUUCUAUACCUUGGCCAUCCAGCUCCAAGAGAAGUUCCAAGUGAACAACUACAGGACUUGGCUGACAGUGAGCAUCCCGAUUUCCACUGUGCUCAUCACAGCCAGUGCGAUGUCUCCGAGGGUUGGGGCCAACAUCACCCUGAAUUGCUCGGCAGCAACAGGGAGCCCCGUGAUCUACUCUUGGCAGAGGCUCGACCAAGCAUUGCUUCCUGGGAAUCGUUCCAUCCUGUCCCAGGACAACUCCACCCUGACCCUUCUAGACGUCCAGCUGUAUGAUGAGGGGAACUAUCGGUGCCUGGCAGAGAACGCCAUCAGUGUGGAGUUUGAAGACUUCACCUUACAGCUGAAUGGUUCUUCUUCUUGCCCAACUUCCAGCUAUGUUGGCUACUUUGGAUACCCUGGCUACCUUGGCUACAUUCUGCUCAUAGUCUGUCUCUUCAGGAUGGCAAAAAAAAUCAACACCAGGUUUUUGGCAACCCAGACAGAGUCUACUUAUGAAAACAUGCGUUCAACUCAGCCACCCCUUUAA
Molecule: long non-coding RNA, 1256 nt
Filed under: Ornithorhynchus anatinus (platypus)
Lineage: Eukaryota; Metazoa; Chordata; Mammalia; Monotremata; Ornithorhynchidae
Description: lncRNA (ENSOANG00000031819.2)
Source: RNAcentral